AAAGAAUGCCCUUUGAGAUCUGUGGAUUAAAUGAAAUGUGUCCCAAAGCCCUGGAAGAGGAGACGGGAAUCCUGCAGGAGCCGUGACAUCAAUGUCCCUUACAGCCCCGGGCAGCGGGGACUCUAACACUUGCUAACGCCCUGUACAGAGACGGCAUUGGCAGAUCCCCGGCGAUCGAUUUUACGAACUCUGGAAGCGUUGAUUUCAAUGUUUAUUUUUGUUUCGGAUGUGGAGCCAGAAAGAACAGCAGUGAUGCUGAGUUGCUGGAGGAACACAGCAGAUGGACCCCCUGUUGGGAACUUUCCUUCCGUUCCGAGCACCUGGACUGCACUGGAGUGAGAGGCUAUCAGUCACAUGGACCCCUUUUCUCCAGUGCAGGCAAGUGAGUGGCCUGGGCUGGCCAAUCAGAACACCCACCUCCCUUGCCCCAGUGACUGGUCCAGGAGAGGUCAUGUGACCUAAACUGACUCCGGACCUUCUCUGUGGCCCUGAUGUCAGCCCUGAGGAAGAGAGGUCUUCUCUUCUUUGUGACUGUGAGCAUUUUGUCUUUGGUUUCUUAGCAAAUGUGUGUGUUGUGAGUCGAAGAGCGUCCCCCGCCCCCCAGCUUCAGGUGCACCCACAACCUCAGCAUGCAACCUUAAUUGGAAAUAGGGUCUUUGCAGGUAACAUUGGUUAAAAAUCUU
Molecule: long non-coding RNA, 683 nt
Organism: Acinonyx jubatus (cheetah)
Lineage: Eukaryota; Metazoa; Chordata; Mammalia; Carnivora; Felidae
Exons: 3
Source: RefSeq, a predicted model, not a curated record